Molecule: long non-coding RNA, 372 nt
Filed under: Gossypium barbadense (sea-island cotton)
Lineage: Eukaryota; Viridiplantae; Streptophyta; Magnoliopsida; Malvales; Malvaceae
Description: long non-coding RNA (GBAR_LNC022814)
Source: RNAcentral
AAAUGGAGUCGAGAUCAUUGCGGCGGUACGCGUCCAAAGACUACUCGUUAAGAGAUUCUUAUUGGGAUUCCUAUUCGUCAAGGAAUUCAAGACGCGAUAGCCUAGAGCUUGCAACUUCUCGACAUGACGAACGAGAGAGGACGAGUUAUUCAUCGUAUGAUUCAAAGAAGUCCUUCCCGGAGGAUUGUUUCUGAAGAAAUGGACGAAAAGCCUAUGAAAAUAUUUUCUCUUCCUUUGGGGCAAAUGAUUAUCUUUUUGAUUCUUUCGUGUCGAUUGCACAUUGUAAUGAAAUCGAAAAAGUGAGAGAAAAAGAAAAUGAAGAGAAAGAAUUCGAAAAAGAAAUUGAGAUUGUACAAGAGUGCGAGCGAGAAA